RNAcentral lists this ribosomal RNA (441 nucleotides) under Triticum aestivum (bread wheat). Its description in RNAcentral is "partial small subunit ribosomal RNA". The record is from RNAcentral. Lineage: Eukaryota; Viridiplantae; Streptophyta; Magnoliopsida; Poales; Poaceae.
GGCGCACUAGCAAGAAACAGACGAGUGGGAGUGGCUGCUGCAGUCUGCCGAGACUCAGAUGGUAAUUUUCUGGGCUCAUCAGCAGUUGUCUUUAAAGGAAUUAGAGACCCUCGUAUUUUGGAAACAUACGCUUGCCGAGAAGCCCUAUCUUUGGCGGAGGAUCUCUACGAGCAGAAUAUCAUGGUAGCCUCAGACUGCCAAGGUGUGGUGCAAGACAUCAAUGAAGGCACAGGGGGUACCAAUGCGGCUGUUAUACAUGAAAUAAUAGACCGUAGAGCUAGUUUCUCUUCUUGCUCUUUUGUUUUUGAGCGAAGGAACAAUAACUUCGAGGCUCAUAAUCUCGUUAAAUUCGCUUGUAAUUUAGAUAUAUGGAGGCAUAUUUGGUUGGGCACUCCUCAUGACCGAAACCGUGUACCUAUGAACAUUGUUUUGAAUCAAUAA